ACGAAAAUGGACCUUUGGGAAAACGAAAUUUUUGCCCAUUAAGCAGUCCAUUAAAUUAUCUGGGCCCAACGAGUAGUUGAACCCACGCGAAAUGCCUACUGCAUAUCCUAUUAGAUGCGGUGAGGUGGGACGAGAAGUAGGAGCAAACGCCGCCUCCGCCGAAUCUGACAAUGGGCGAUUCAGAUGUUGUUAGACGAAGACAAGUUGAAGAAUAGGACCAUGAGGAUAUUAUCUUGGCUGAUCCUACACUUCAUUUUAAAUACUGCCCAGCUGAUUGCUGCUGGCGGUUUCAUGGGUGGAUUUGAUUUUUGCCUUACUCAUCUGAGCGUCCUAUUUUUUGUUCAAUGAUAAACCCAUGACAUGCUUUAAAAUUCUAUGCACUAUUCAGUUCAUCAAAUUCAAGGUAUGUUUUUGUUUUCUCUUUUAACUUUUGGGUCUUCUAUAAAUUUCAUCAAAGUGUAUUCUUAUGAAUCUUCAGGAUUCAAUUUGGAUCUCACUUUGUUUGUCAUUUCGCUUUGCGUGUACUAAACACAGAAAUGGGCAGAUUGGAAACUGAUGAAUUAAGCAGUUUUUGGGCUGUGGAGCAUCAAAUUAAAGCAAAUCGGCCUAGUAAGAAUUCUAGACUCGAUUGGCUAUGCGUAGAGCCGACAAGUUCUGUGAUAUGGCCAGUCGGCUGAUCAUCCAAUUUGUCUUUCUUUUUGUAAUAUAAUUUUGAGAUUUUUGCUUAUUUUUUGUUAAUUUUUGCUUAUUUGUUAUUAUUUUCGACUUAAUUAGUUGUAGAGAGAUUAGAAUAAUUAUUUUUAUAUUUCUUUUGUUUAUUUUA
Ricinus communis (castor bean) is the source of this 823-nucleotide long non-coding RNA. RefSeq lists it as uncharacterized. Lineage: Eukaryota; Viridiplantae; Streptophyta; Magnoliopsida; Malpighiales; Euphorbiaceae. The record is from RefSeq and is a predicted model, not a curated record. The transcript has 2 exons.